Molecule: ribosomal RNA, 253 nt
Filed under: uncultured bacterium
Lineage: Bacteria
Description: partial 16S ribosomal RNA
Rfam family: Bacterial small subunit ribosomal RNA
Source: RNAcentral
CACGUAGGGGCCGAGCGUUGUCCGGAGUUACUGGGCGUAAAGGGCGCGCAGGCGGCCUGCUGCAUCACCGGUGAAAGCCCCGCGCUCAACGCGGGAGGGUCCGGUGAGAUGAGCAGGCUGGAGGCAGGGCGAGGGCGGUGGAAUUCCGGGUGUAGUGGUGAAAUGCGCAGAUAUCAGGAAGAACACCCGUGGCUAAGGCGGUUCUCUAGUACGGUACUGACGCUGAGACGCGAAAGCGUGGGGAGCGAACAGG